This 255-nucleotide ribosomal RNA is filed under the name uncultured bacterium. Its description in RNAcentral is "partial 16S ribosomal RNA". It matches the Rfam family "Bacterial small subunit ribosomal RNA", at positions 524 to 776 of the family's 1533-position model. The record is from RNAcentral.
GACGUAGGGCGCGAGCGUUGUCCGGAUUUACUGGGCGUAAAGGGCUCGUAGGCGGCCAACUAAGUCAGACGUGAAAUCCCUCGGCUUAACCGGGGAACUGCGUCUGAUACUGGAUGGCUUGAGUUUGGGAGAGGGAUGCGGAAUUCCAGGUGUAGCGGUGAAAUGCGUAGAUAUCUGGAGGAACACCGGUGGCGAAGGCGGCUCCACUGGCCCGGAUACUGACGCUGAGGCACGAAAGCGUGGGGAGCAAACAGG